This 308-nucleotide ribosomal RNA is filed under the name uncultured bacterium. RNAcentral describes it as "partial 16S ribosomal RNA". It matches the Rfam family "Bacterial small subunit ribosomal RNA", at positions 505 to 807 of the family's 1533-position model. The record is from RNAcentral.
GAGACAGCAGUCGCCACGGUAAUACGGAGGGUGCAAGCGUUAUCCGGAUUUAUUGGGUUUAAAGGGUCCGUAGGCGGAUCUGUAAGUCAGUGGUGAAAUCUCACAGCUUAACUGUGAAACUGCCAUUGAUACUGCAGGUCUUGAGUAAAUUUGAAGUGGCUGGAAUAAGUAGUGUAGCGGUGAAAUGCAUAGAUAUUACUUAGAACACCAAUUGCGAAGGCAGGUCACUAAGAUUUAACUGACGCUGAUGGACGAAAGCGUGGGGAGCGAACAGGAUUAGAUACCCGUGUAGUCCCUGUCUCUUAUAC